This 257-nucleotide ribosomal RNA is filed under the name uncultured bacterium. Its description in RNAcentral is "partial 16S ribosomal RNA". It matches the Rfam family "Bacterial small subunit ribosomal RNA", at positions 524 to 778 of the family's 1533-position model. The record is from RNAcentral.
GACAGAGGCCUCAAGCGUUAGGCGGAAUCACUGGGCUUAAAGCGUGUGUAGGCGGAUCGUUAAGUGUCUUGUGAAAUCCCACGGCUCACCCGUGGAACGGCUGGGCAUACUGGCGAUCUUGGGCCAACUAGGGGCAACUGGAACAAGCGGUGGAGCGGUGAAAUGCGUAGAUAUCGCUUGGAACGCCGAAGGUGAAAACAGGUUGCUGGGGUUGUGCCGACGCUGAGACACGAAAGCCCAGGGGGAGCAAAACGGGG